ACGCUCGACACCUACGGGAUGCAGCAGUGGGGAAUAUUGCACAAUGGGGGAAACCCUGAUGCAGCAACGCCGCGUGAAGGAAGACGGUUUUCGGAUUGUAAACUUCUGUUCUUAGUGAAGAUAGUGACGGUAGCUAAGGAGCAAGCCACGGCUAACUACGUGCCAGCAGCCGCGGUAAUCUGAGGCGGGCUGGCAAGGC
This 199-nucleotide ribosomal RNA is filed under the name uncultured bacterium. RNAcentral's name for it is "partial 16S ribosomal RNA". It matches the Rfam family "Bacterial small subunit ribosomal RNA", at positions 326 to 539 of the family's 1533-position model. The record is from RNAcentral.